This 99-nucleotide transfer RNA is filed under the name Deltaproteobacteria bacterium. RNAcentral describes it as "tRNA-Sec". It matches the Rfam family "Selenocysteine transfer RNA". Lineage: Bacteria; Pseudomonadati; Myxococcota; Myxococcia. The record is from RNAcentral. RNAcentral also lists the same sequence under 2 other names.
GGAAGCGAUUGUCACGCUGGUGCGGGCCUCGGACUUCAAAUCCGAUGGGAUGCGUCGCAAGACGCAUCCGGCGGGUUCGAUUCCCGUCCGCUUCCGCCA